Molecule: long non-coding RNA, 420 nt
Organism: Carya illinoinensis
Lineage: Eukaryota; Viridiplantae; Streptophyta; Magnoliopsida; Fagales; Juglandaceae
Exons: 2
Source: RefSeq, a predicted model, not a curated record
CUCUUCAUGCUCGUUGCUUCUUCUUUGUUCUCUGCUCUCUCGUUGCUCAUGGCAUGGCUCUCUCUCAUUGCUCCCAGCUCUCUCUCUCUCUACUCUUCACGGCUCUCUCUGCUCUCUUUACCUUCAUCAAUGACGGUUGAUCCAUCAACAACAUUGUUUGAAAACUCUAGCUAAAGGUUAUUGUUGCUGUGGAGUUGCUGUAGAGCAGAAUGGUGCUGUCGUGGAGUUGCCAAUUAAGUUGUAUUAUAAUCAACUUUGUGGAUUUUUUAUUAAGUUGAUUUUGAUACAUGGGAUUUAUUUAAAUUUGUAUAGAGGUUCUUUUAGUUGGAAGUUGAAUUUAUAUUGCAUCUAUUUUGUAAACACUGAAUUUGUAUGGAGUAGAAUUUAUUAAGUUGUGAAUUUGUAUGAAAUUAAAAACCA